UCUGAAUCUGCGAACGGCUCCGCAUACCAGUUGUAAACUAUAGCUAGUCAGCCUUGAGGCGGGAUCUUCGGGUUCCCUUCUUGGCUUUAUAUGGAUACCCAUGGUAAUUCUGAGGCUAAUACAAGAACGUAAAACCUGGCUAACCGCGCAAGUGGAAGGCUGGGGGUCGUGUGAUGAUCCUGCAACAUGACUUAAACCGGAAAGGACACAUGAUCAGACCACCAUUCAAAACGGCCUUGGGCUUGGCAAUCCUCCUUCGGGGGGUGCGACUCGCCCUCGAUCGGGUGGCUCUAGUUAUGUGCUUCUGACCUAUCAACUAGAUGGCAGCGCAAAAGACAUGCUAUGGU
RNAcentral lists this ribosomal RNA (347 nucleotides) under Physarum notabile. Its description in RNAcentral is "bacterial SSU rRNA". It matches the Rfam family "Eukaryotic small subunit ribosomal RNA", at positions 80 to 350 of the family's 1831-position model. Lineage: Eukaryota; Evosea; Eumycetozoa; Physariida; Physaraceae. The record is from RNAcentral.